Molecule: transfer RNA, 65 nt
Filed under: Conotrachelus sp. KM-2017
Lineage: Eukaryota; Metazoa; Arthropoda; Insecta; Coleoptera; Curculionidae
Description: tRNA-Thr
Source: RNAcentral
GUUUUAAUAAUUUAAAUAAAAUACUGAUCUUGUAAAUCAGAAAUAAGAUUAAUUCUUUUAAAACU